UCCGGUUGAUCCUGCCGGACCUGACUGCUAUCGGAUUGGUACUAAGCCAUGCGAGUCAUUGUAGCAAUACAAGGCGGACGGCUCAGUAACACGUAGUCAACCUAACUCGUGGACGUGGAUAACCUCGGGAAACUGAGAAUAAACCACGAUAGAUCAUAGUGCCUGGAAUGGCUUAUGGUCCAAACAGUUUACUGCCAUGGGAUGGGACUGCGGCCUAUCAGCUUGUUGGUGAGGUAAUGGCCCACCAAGGCGAUUACAGGUACGGGCUCUGAGAGGAGAAGCCCGGAGAUGGGUACUGAGACACGGACCCAGGCCCUAUGGGGCGCAGCAGGCGAGAAACCUUAGCAAUGUGCGAAAGCACGACUGGGUCAGUCCGAGUGAUUCCUGAUAAAGGAGUCUUUUGCUUGUCCUAAAAGCACAGGUGAAUAAGGGGUGGGCAAGUCUGGUGUCAGCCGCCGCGGUAAUACCAGCACCUCGAGUGGUCAGGACGUUUAUUGGGCCUAAAGCAUCCGUAGCCGGCUUUGCAAGUCUUCGGUUAAAUCCACCUGCUCAACAGAUGGGCCGCUGGAGAUACUACAGAGCUAGGGAGUGGGAGAGGCAGACGGUAUUCAGUGGGUAGGGGUAAAAUCCUCUGAUCCAUUGAGGACCACCAGUGGCGAAGGCGGUCUGCCAGAACACGUUCGACGGUGAGGGAUGAAAGCUGGGGGAGCAAACCGGAUUAGAUACCCGGGUAGUCCCAGCUGUAAACGAUGCAAACUCGGUGAUGCAUUGGCUUAUGGCCAAUGCAGUGCCGCAGGGAAGCCGUUAAGUUUGCCGCCUGGGAAGUACGGACGCAAGUCUGAAACUUAAAGGAAUUGGCGGGGGAGCACCACAAGGGGUGAAGCCUGCGGUUCAAUUGGAGUCAACGCCAGGAAUCUUACCCGGGGAGACAGCAGAAUGAAGGUCAAGCUGAAGACUUUACCAGACAAGCUGAGAGGUGGUGCAUGGCC
RNAcentral lists this ribosomal RNA (989 nucleotides) under uncultured archaeon. RNAcentral describes it as "bacterial SSU rRNA". It matches the Rfam family "Archaeal small subunit ribosomal RNA", at positions 1 to 999 of the family's 1478-position model. The record is from RNAcentral.